Oncorhynchus kisutch (coho salmon) is the source of this 133-nucleotide small nucleolar RNA. NCBI's taxonomy places the organism in Eukaryota, Metazoa, Chordata, Actinopteri, Salmoniformes, Salmonidae. The record is from Ensembl.
UGCAGCCUUGUCAAAUUCCAUGUUUUCUCUACAAUGGACUGUACUGGCCAAAAUGGCUGCCACAGUGAGUAAUUCAUGAGCCCCACAUCCCUCUGGCAUGUUUGCUGGGGAUAAAUGUGUUCUACAGACAAUU